AAACUACUCCCUCCGUCCGAAAACACUUGUCAUCAAAAUGGAUAAAAAGGGAUGCAUCUAGAACUAAAAUACGUUUAGAUACAUCUUUUUUCAUUCAUUUUGAUGACAAGUAUUUCCAAACGGAGAGAGUAUAAG
Molecule: non-coding RNA, 135 nt
Organism: Triticum aestivum (bread wheat)
Lineage: Eukaryota; Viridiplantae; Streptophyta; Magnoliopsida; Poales; Poaceae
Source: Rfam